Megalobrama amblycephala (Wuchang bream) is the source of this 399-nucleotide long non-coding RNA. RefSeq lists it as uncharacterized. The record is from RefSeq and is a predicted model, not a curated record. Lineage: Eukaryota; Metazoa; Chordata; Actinopteri; Cypriniformes; Xenocyprididae. The transcript is spliced from 2 exons.
CAGAAGAAGAAAAGAAGCCCCCCCCCCCCCCAAAUUGUGCAGCAGGUCAGUGACGUGUGCUGACUGAUGGCCAUUGAGGUUCAUUCAGGUGCCAUUCUCAGAGCGUGUGGAGUGAUGAAAUGCUCUUUUGAGCUGCUUUAAAGGAGAAAUUCCUCCUUCAGUUCCCACAGAUGAGAGAUGUUUUCACCGGAGGGACUGUGAGACACUGUAAAUGUUAAAAUAAACAAAACAGAUCCGAGUAUAUACUUGUUUGCGCUCUUAGAUCAGGUAAAGAUUAAAAACAUUCUCGAAUUACCACCAAAAAUUGUUUAGCGUCAUCAUCUGCAAAGCAUUUGCAUAAAUUGCAAAAACUGUAAUAUGCAAAUAAACUAUUCAAAAAUGCUGCUUGUAAGCUAAAAA